ACUCCUACGGGAGGCAGCAGUGCGUUAAUAUUGCACAAUGGGCGAAAGCCUGAUGCAGCGACGCCGCGUGAGGGAUGACGGCCUUCGGGUUGUAAACCUCUUUCAGCAGGGACGAAGCGCAAGUGACGGUACCUGCAGAAGAAGCACCGGCUAACUACGUGCCAGCAGCCGCGGUAAUA
This 179-nucleotide ribosomal RNA is filed under the name uncultured bacterium. RNAcentral describes it as "partial 16S ribosomal RNA". It matches the Rfam family "Bacterial small subunit ribosomal RNA", at positions 335 to 525 of the family's 1533-position model. The record is from RNAcentral.